Neodiprion fabricii is the source of this 2966-nucleotide RNA transcript. RefSeq lists it as uncharacterized. The transcript is spliced from 8 exons. NCBI's taxonomy places the organism in Eukaryota, Metazoa, Arthropoda, Insecta, Hymenoptera, Diprionidae. The record is from RefSeq and is a predicted model, not a curated record.
AGAUUUUCAGCCGAAAGGACAGAAAAAUUACGUGAACAACGUAAACAGAUUGAAUAUACGGAAAAUAGGAUGGAAAGCGUUCGGCUGGAACGUACACUUCUGGAAGAAUUGCGAAAAGCUUCAUUCGACCAAUAUCACGUUACGUACGUUGGCAGUAAUAUUAUUUGAAAAUUAAACGUAAUUUCGAUCAGGGAACAGACGGUGCUUCAUAUCCCGUCCAGACGUAAUAAAAAAUUUAACAGCUGAAAAAAUAGACGUCCUCGGAUAAUAUUUAUAUACUACGGUCCAUAUCGCGAGUCCGUCAAUAGUACGUCAACAUUGGGGAAAAAUAUGUUGUGAAUUGUUAAUGAAAUAUAUUUAUGUUUAGCGCGGGACAAAAAGUUGCAUGAGGGUACAUAUGCAUACAUAUAUGUUUAGUAAGUAAGUAUACGUUUCAUAGAUAGUGACGCAUUCUUGUUGCACGAAUACGAGGCGCGUUACGCACGUAUAUUUCAAUUUUAGAUCGACCCGCUUUUAAAACGCAACUCACACCUCUGCAAUAACAGUAUGGAUGUAUAACUAAGGAACAUGGGCAUCGUAUAUACAAUCUGUAUUUUUUUUUUUUUUGAUAUUCACUUGAUUGUAACAAAGUUGAAACGGUGAUUUGGAUUUUCCCUGUUUCAAUCAUGUUAGCUUUAUAUAUUUACUCAUUUUUACGACAUCUCACACUAGCUGGGGAAUAUUUACAUAAGAGCCCAAUAAAAAAAACGUAGAAAUUGCGGUGUCCCCAUCGAAGGUUUUUCUUAGCAAAAUAUAUAUAUUUUUUUUUUCCUCUCUCUUGUCGGGAAAUGCAUGUGUCUGCAGCUAUUUUGAGACUGCGGCGUAUGAAUGCAGGAUGAUGGACGGGAGACCAAAGAAAAAUAUUGAACGUCGGACAAUGAAGCAGCAAUGAGAUGAGAACAGUCUCAUCCAUUUUAACGAGACAAGUUGAUAAACAAGUUUGUAGACUUGUUUAAAAUAGAUAACAAGAUUGUUUAUUUUUCUCUCCUUGUAGUCUUUUCGUGGUAACAAUUGCAGAGUUAUUGUUUUCGGGAAAAUUUAUACCUUUUGUCGCAUUACUCAAACAUCGCGAUGUUAGUGCGGAAUUUGCGGUAAACCGUCAGCAAUACACGUACGUGAAAACGUUGGAAAAAGAUGCUAACGAGGAUCACAUAAACCACGAAAGUGUUGAGACAACCCUUUCGAAUUCCCACUUAUUCCCUAAUUCCAUGCCAGACAAAACUGUCGUUGCUUCUCUACCUGGAUUACGCGAGUCCGACAGAUGGGUCGUACUUUCGGUUAGUGGAGACGGUGUCAUCUUGGCCCUUGAGCUUGCUAGAGUGUUUGAAAAGCUGAGGGAUGCACAUAACUGGACUCCACGGAGAAGGAUAGUUUUCUGCUUCUCCAACGAGUUUGGUCAGGAUUCGUGUCGCGACAAUCUACCGAAAUACGCACACCAUAAGAUAGUGGCCUAUUUAACAGUCCAUGGAAACGCCAUACAGAAGAACGGGUGCUUCGUAGCCCCAGGAUCAGACGUGGUGAGAUCGUCGGUAUUUGAAGCAGUUCAGACAGUUCAGGAUACAAUUUCUGCCCAAGACCUAACAAGUACUCGCAGAAUUUUCAACUGGUGCCAAAAGGAACAUGAUGACGGGCUAUUUUUGCCUAGAAUUCCCUCAGACAUACCGCAUGCCUCACUCGCAUUAUUAGCAGCAACCAACACUAGUGUCAAUGCUGACUAUGAAACAGCGACCCCGUACAGUAGAUCUUUUUUUCAAAUUAUCGGUCUUACCAUCUGGAGACUUUCGAACAGUCCGAUUCUUCACUGGGAUCCGAAAUACUUCGAACGCGACGUCAAAGCAGCCUUGAAGAUGAUCGAUUCUCCAGGAUUCGUCCAAGUUAAAGAGAAGAUUACAUCGACUGUGCAUAAAAUAGUCAAUAGAGCUUACAACUUGAAUCGAAACAUAAACGAGAUCGAAGAGCCUGACUCACUGUCAGCACGAGUGAUGAACGACUUGGUAAUGGAUUUGGAUCGAGCACUGCUGUGCCCAGACGGUAAUUUAGCGUCAAAAACUGACCCAGCUUUAAUCAAACGUGGGCUGGUGGAUUCGGAAAUGCUCGAUGAUAUGCUCAAUUGCUAUGAGAAUGCAGUUCAAGUUUUGCAGGAAGGGUGACUUCCAAAUUUUCUGAAUGCCCAGUGAAUGAAUAACAAGCCACCGUCGACAGUAAUGUGUUUUAAAAAGGGUACCGUCAAUGGCUUGGCAAUUUGGAUUGAAAACAGAGUAGGCGCUAAUCUCGCCCUUCUUCUUUGGACCAGACCGAGUGUUCUUCCAUAUUAGUACUAAGGAUGACACGAUAAAGUAUACGGCGCCGAAUUCGAACUGAAGUGCUAUCAUGUAAAGCGUUGCCCACAGAAGGAAGUACAGCAGGUAAGUGACUUGCAUCAAUACCGGAUUCUCUGCCGGCGUCAAAUCCAGACUCUCUUCAGACUGACUGCUCUCUAUGUCUUCCCUAUCCUGGAACCUUACAAUUCUUAAUGUUGCAGUACUGUUUACGCUGUUCUGUAUUUCAAGUGUUAUAACAAUAGGCGUUUAUAAUUUAUGAUAAUGAAAUAGUGUUUUCCUUCAGUUUUCCGAGCAUAGUACAUAGAAAUAUAAGUGAAAGCGUGUAAAUUCCUACUACACAGAAGACUGAAGAGAAGUAGCCGUCAAGUUGUAACCAUGAUUAAGUGUAAAUGUUUGCAGUUAUCUCGAAAAGUGUUGUUUGUUGUUACAAAACCGAGCAAAUAAAUAACAAUGUGAUGAAAAUACAGAUUGGGUGAGUGAGGAAAUGAGAAGGCGAGAUAAAAAUGAAAAAACUAACCGUAAAUAUAUACAACAGUAAUCGUAAUAACAAUGAUUUUGAUUUAAAAUACAAUACAAGAUACAAGGUUCAAAUUAUUGGAAUUAAGA